UUCGGAUCCCACCCCUGACUUUCAUGGGAGCAGGGCUGCGGGUAUUUCAAUCGGGCUUUGAAAACCUCUUUCUGAACCUCUGAGCCCAGAUAUCUGCUGAGCGAAUGACUGAGUGAGUCAGCAAAUGAAUGAGGUCCUCACCAGCACCGGGAAGGCUCUAGGGCCCGAGUCUUCUCAUUGCUGAUGAGGAAGCUGUGGUCUCUGGGAGGACGGACCCGUGAACUGCAGGAUUUCACAAGUUGCUGCAGACUGAAGCCCAGCAGGGAGACCAGGGCUGGGAGGCGGACCUGGAGGUCUCCGAACACUGGGCCCAGCGUCUCCUGGAAGGAAAGCUGUGUCAGUCACGUGACGGGUCUUCAGCAAUGUCUACUACCCUGAGCAGCCCUGGGGCGUGUCUGAGGUUUAAGAAUAAAAAGAGACUGGCUCCUAUGUAGCGGUGAGGAAACUGAGGCCCACAAGAGGCAGGGCCUGGCUCCUCACAGCGGUCGUUAAGGAACCAUAUAAAGCUCCCAUGUGGCUGCACCUCUGUGAGUGCCACCGGCCCUGCUGCACAGACCCCAGGCUGGUGGCCCACAGCUCCAGGGCCUGUGCUGAAAGUGCACUGGGCCUGCGUUACCCAGGAAUGUCACUUUCUCUUGGACACCUUUACAGGAGCCAGGCACUGUCCUAGGGGCUUACAGUCUUUAUUUGGGAGAGACAAAUAAAAUGCAUGUGGCUAUGA
Molecule: long non-coding RNA, 721 nt
Organism: Phyllostomus discolor (pale spear-nosed bat)
Lineage: Eukaryota; Metazoa; Chordata; Mammalia; Chiroptera; Phyllostomidae
Exons: 2
Source: RefSeq, a predicted model, not a curated record